AGUGAACGCUGGCGGCAGGCCUAACACAUGCAAGUCGAGCGGCAGCGCGGGGGCAACCCUGGCGGCGAGCGGCGGACGGGUGAGGAAUUCGUCGGAAUCUGCCUUUUUGUGGGGGAUAACGUAGGGAAACUUACGCUAAUACCGCAUACGUCCUACGGGAGAAAGUGGGGGACCGCAAGGCCUCACGCAGAAAGAUGAGCCGACGACCGAUUAGCUAGUUGGUGGGGUAAAGGCCCACCAAGGCGACGAUCGGUAGCUGGUCUGAGAGGAUGAUCAGCCACACUGGGACUGAGACACGGCCCAGACUCCUACGGGAGGCAGCAGUGGGGAAUAUUGGACAAUGGGCGCAAGCCUGAUCCAGCCAUGCCGCGUGUGUGAAGAAGGCCUUCGGGUUGUAAAGCACUUUUGUCCGGAAAGAAAUCCCUGGAGCUAAUACCUUCGGGGGAUGACGGUACCAGAAGAAUAAGCACCGGCUAACUUCGUG
Molecule: ribosomal RNA, 484 nt
Filed under: uncultured bacterium
Lineage: Bacteria
Description: partial 16S ribosomal RNA
Rfam family: Bacterial small subunit ribosomal RNA
Source: RNAcentral